Molecule: ribosomal RNA, 471 nt
Filed under: uncultured bacterium
Lineage: Bacteria
Description: bacterial SSU rRNA
Rfam family: Bacterial small subunit ribosomal RNA
Source: RNAcentral
GACGACGCUGGCGGCGUGCCUAACACAUGCAAGUCGAGCGGAGGUACAAUGAGAGCAAUCGAGAUGUACUUUAGCGGCGGACGGGUGAGUAACGCGUGAGCAACCUGCCUAUCACAGGGGGAUAAGGCGGCGAAAGCCGCUCUAAUACCGCAUGAGACCCUCAAAGCGAUGCAAUGGGGGUGAAAGGAGCGAUCCGGUGAGAGAUGGGCUCGCGUCCGAUUAGGUAGUUGGUAGGGUAAGGGCCUACCCAAGCCAAUGAUCGGUAGCCGGCCUGAGAGGGUGAACGGCCACAUUGGAACUGAGAGACGGUCCAAACUCCUACGGGAGGCAGCAGUGGGGAAUAUUGGGCAAUGGGCGGAAGCCUGACCCAGCAACGCCGCGUGAGGGAAGAAGGUUUUCGGAUUGUAAACCUCUGUUCUUGGGGAAGAGGAGGAGACGGUACCCAAGGAGGAAGCCCCGGCUAACUACGUG